UAGGGAAUCUUCGGCAAUGGGGGGAACCCUGACCGAGCAACGCCGCGUGAGUGAAGAAGGUUUUCGGAUCGUAAAGCUCUGUUGUUAAGGAAGAACGAGUGUGAGAAUGGAAAGUUCAUGCUGUGACGGUACUUAACCAGAAAGGGACGGCUAACUACGUGCCAGCAGCCGCGGUAAUACGUAGGUGGCAAGCGUUGUCCGGAUUUAUUGGGCGUAAAGCGAGCGCAGGCGGUCAAUUAAGUCUGAUGUGAAAGCCCCCGGCUCAACCGGGGCGGGGCAUUGGCAACUGGUUGACUUGAGUGCAGAAGAGGAGAGUGGAAUUCCAUGUGUAGCGGUGAGAUGCGUAGAUAUAUGGAGGAACACCAGUGGCGAAGGCGACUCUCUGGUCUGUAACUGACGCUGAGGCUCGAAAGCGUGGGUAGCAAACAGG
This 430-nucleotide ribosomal RNA is filed under the name Bacteroidota bacterium. RNAcentral's name for it is "Bacteroidetes bacterium partial 16S ribosomal RNA". It matches the Rfam family "Bacterial small subunit ribosomal RNA", at positions 355 to 776 of the family's 1533-position model. Lineage: Bacteria; Pseudomonadati; Bacteroidota. The record is from RNAcentral.